RNAcentral lists this ribosomal RNA (492 nucleotides) under uncultured bacterium. RNAcentral describes it as "partial 16S ribosomal RNA". It matches the Rfam family "Bacterial small subunit ribosomal RNA", at positions 29 to 507 of the family's 1533-position model. The record is from RNAcentral.
AGUGAACGCUGGCGGUAGGCCUAACACAUGCAAGUCGAACGGCAGCACAGUAAGAGCUUGCUCUUACGGGUGGCGAGUGGCGGACGGGUGAGGAAUACAUCGGAAUCUACUUUUUCGUGGGGGAUAACGUAGGGAAACUUACGCUAAUACCGCAUACGACCUACGGGUGAAAGCAGGGGAUCUUCGGACCUUGCGCGAUUGAAUGAGCCGAUGUCGGAUUAGCUAGUUGGCGGGGUAAAGGCCCACCAAGGCGACGAUCCGUAGCUGGUCUGAGAGGAUGAUCAGCCACACUGGAACUGAGACACGGUCCAGACUCCUACGGGAGGCAGCAGUGGGGAAUAUUGGACAAUGGGCGCAAGCCUGAUCCAGCCAUACCGCGUGGGUGAAGAAGGCCUUCGGGUUGUAAAGCCGUUUUGUUGGGAAAGAAAAGCAGCAGGUUAAUACCCCGCUGUUCUGACGGUACCCAAAGAAUAAGCACCGGCUAACUUCGCG